Gasterosteus aculeatus aculeatus (three-spined stickleback) is the source of this 2236-nucleotide long non-coding RNA. The record is from Ensembl. Lineage: Eukaryota; Metazoa; Chordata; Actinopteri; Perciformes; Gasterosteidae.
GAACGCUGGCGUUGCCAUGGUGACAUAGCGGCCACGGAAUCGGCUCGAUGGCAGUCAUCCCUCCUCAAAUAUCCGUGUCACGUCUUUUCGAAUCCUAGAGAUGUAACGAGAAUGCCAAAACUUUCCAAACUGCUAACUUAUACAAACCCGCAGUUGGAACAGCCGUUGACAUUCUUCUACACCCUGAUGAACCUGAGGCGAGAUCAGUUACUCUCCCAGUCGUCCGCGGGCUUUCUGUCCGGGCGAAGACGAUGUUUGUGAUGCCACAUGUAACUUGAUUAUCCGAGCGAGGGAAUGAGGGUAGCAAGAAGAAGACGCCCCUGGUUCGGAGAUGUUCCCAAUGAAGACCUUUUAUCCUCUAUUUGCAGCAAAUUCAAUUCGUCGCGUCCUCUCUGAGCGUCGUUUGCUUCAAACCGAGCGGAUCGCAUGCCGGGCCUUCCUCCCGUUUAUUCACUCGUUUCCUCCCCGCUGCGGACCGAACAUCCUCGUCAGCCUCUAAGCAAACAACGGCAUUAAUGGCUUUGGCUGCGGCUGGCGUCUGUGAGGACGUGCGGCUCAAUGUCAAGUGAAUUUCGGAGACGGGAAGGUUGACCCGUCGUUUCCCCGAGCCCGAGCAAAGCCGACAGCAGCUUCCAUGCGGAUCAUAUAAUGCGGGCGUGUGCCGUGGGAGGACAGGAGCGACGUGGUGCCAAAGUGCCAACUGAAGGGGCUUUAAAUCCAGCCGCUGUCUAUUGUUCAUGGAGGUCGAGUGAUGCAGGCCCACACGUGACGCCCCCGCGCUGCCGCGCGUGACCUUGUUCCGGAUACAUGAUGAUCAUAAUUAACGUUGUGAUGAAGCCAGAUGCCUUCAUCGAUCAUCUGGACACGCCACUCGUGCUGCUUGUGCUGAAACCCGGCGGACGCUCUUCCUUCACUGUAAUAACACGAGUGUGUAAACCAAGUAUAAAAACUAAACCAACACUACACACAAGCAAUGGUGGUUGUGUGAAGACGCGCCUUUAUGUGCGUCCAUCCUGCCAACCACGUCCAGCAGGUUGCUGGAGGAGCGCCAUGUCUGUUGUUUCGGCCCCUCUUUGGAGGCUCGGCGGGGUCUUUCCCACCGGCUCAGGGUCCUGAGAAGAAACGUGUUCUCGUCCUUCUUCACCGUCAUUCAAUCACGUCACAGAGGGACAAACGCACACGGGACGCUUUCAAUGACAAUUUUACUGUUAAAAUAGAGAUCAGAAGAGAAGAGAUCAACUUCAGAGAGGUCAGCAGAACCUCUGUGGAAGACGUGAAUAUGCUGGAUGGGGAAGAUGAUUAAGAGCAUAAUGACCAAGGGCCAAUUUUAAAAAAUGCUGCAGCGGUUUGCUUCCCUUUGGAACUUCAAAGCGGGAAAAGAGACAAAACGGAGGGAACAGAAAUAGAGGGGAACAAUCUUUGCUGCUGGAAAAAAAAAAGCGAAAUGUACUUCAAGCACCUUGAAGUCUGAGUAAUAUGAGUUGUUGUCACAGAGAACGAUGAGAGCGAGGAAAGACGUGAGAUCUGGACCUUGGGCUUUGAUCUUUAGUAAGGCACUACUUGUAAUACUUAAACAUCAAAGCUACAAAGUGAGAGGAUCUUUCAAUCUGAGCCGCCGCUGCACAAAACAGCCGGCUGAGUGACUCCCACACAUUUCCAAAUUGGAAAAUGGGAAAUGCUUUGUAGUUUGUUUGGUGACAACAGACGCUUUCAGGACCAGCGGUGUUCAUUAGUGGAGCGGACCGAAAGCUCUCGAUGCUCAAAAAUCCACUUUGAGGAGUGGCAGGUUAUGGGAGAUUUAUUUGUUCAAUAUAUUUCGAGAUCUCAGUGAGAUUUUAGUCAUUUUAUUGAAAGUUUGACGACACCAUCAAUCAGUCCUCAACAGAAAAAGUUCAUACGUCUUCCUGACAAGGACGUUGUGCUUAAAUCAUCACUAAGCAUCCACCUGUUGGGUCAUUUCCUUUUACCUGUGCUCGAAAAAAGGAGAAAAUAAGACCACAUUUUGAAAAAAAAAACUAUUAUUGCAAAUAUUUGCUUGGAUUAAAAGAACUAAAUUUGAAGUGCAAUGGAAUUGCAGAGAAAGGUUGUGGAGUUAACAGCACUCAAAUGAGUUCUGAACCUCUUGAAACUUUUCUUUUCAUUACAUCAUCUCGCUUUGUCCUUUUCUUAUGCAAUGAUUAGUCGCCGGAGAUCCACACGGAUCCUUCACCAAAAAUCGACAUUAGCUUCUUCUCCC